This 272-nucleotide ribosomal RNA is filed under the name uncultured Staphylococcus sp. Its description in RNAcentral is "partial 16S ribosomal RNA". It matches the Rfam family "Bacterial small subunit ribosomal RNA", at positions 89 to 354 of the family's 1533-position model. Lineage: Bacteria; Bacillati; Bacillota; Bacilli; Caryophanales; Staphylococcaceae. The record is from RNAcentral.
ACGUUAGCGGCGGACGGGUGAGUAACACGUGGGUAACCUACCUAUAAGACUGGGAUAACUUCGGGAAACCGGAGCUAAUACCGGAUAAUAUUUCAACCGCAUGGUUCGAUAGUGAAAGAUGGUUUUGCUAUCACUUAUAGAUGGACCUGCGCCGUAUUAGCUAGUUGGUAAGGUAACGGCUUACCAAGGCGACGAUACGUAGCCGACCUGAGAGGGUGAUCGGCCACACUGGAACUGAGACACGGUCCAGACUCCUACGGGAGGCAGCAGGC